This 459-nucleotide ribosomal RNA is filed under the name uncultured bacterium. RNAcentral's name for it is "partial 16S ribosomal RNA". It matches the Rfam family "Bacterial small subunit ribosomal RNA", at positions 338 to 795 of the family's 1533-position model. The record is from RNAcentral.
CCUACGGGUGGCUGCAGUGCGGAAUAUUGGUCAAUGGUCGGGAGACUGAACCAGCCAAGCCGCGUGAGGGAGGAAGGUACAGAGUAUCGUAAACCUCUUUUGUCAGGGAACAAAGGCGGGGACGUGUCCCAGGAUGAGUGUACCUGAAGAAAAAGCAUCGGCUAACUCCGUGCCAGCAGCCGCGGUAAUCCGGAGGAUGCGAGCUUUCUCCGGAGUUAUUGGUUUAAAGGGGUGCGCAGGUGGUCUGUUAAGGCCGGGGACCAAGCCCGGGGCUCAACCCCGGCGCGCCGUUGAAACUGGCAGUCGCGAGGGGGAGAGAAGUAUGGGGAAUGCGCGGUGUAGAGGUGAAAUGCAUAGAGAUCGCGCAGAACUCCGAUUGCGAAGGCAGCAUGCCGGCUCCACACUGACGCUGAGGCACGAAAGCGUGGGUAUCGAACAGGAUUAGAUACCCCGGUAGUC